AAUUGAUAAUUUUUUUCUAUGCAUAUUAAUAAAGGAAACUAUUACAACUAGCAACGGCUACCGGUUAUCACAAGGGCAACAGUUUGAUUUCUUUAGAGAGAGGGCAGCCGUUUGAUUUGUCGGAUCUGAUUUGUCAAAUUAAUUAUGUGCAUUGGUGACAUUUAAAACUGAGUCAAAUAAUUAAAAUAUGGGACACAUACAUUUUCCUAACCGGGUUAGAUAUUUUUGUGCUUGUGUGGUUCUGCAGGUGCGGGUACAUAAAUCUACUUAAAUGCUGCUUCUUUUUCACA
RNAcentral lists this unclassified non-coding RNA (290 nucleotides) under Hevea brasiliensis (rubber tree). The record is from RNAcentral. Lineage: Eukaryota; Viridiplantae; Streptophyta; Magnoliopsida; Malpighiales; Euphorbiaceae.